GACGAACGCUGGCGGCGUGCCUAAUACAUGCAAGUCGAGCGAAUUUACGAGAGCUUGCUCUCGUAAAUUAGCGGCGGACGGGUGAGUAACACGUGGGCAACCUGCCUAUAAGACUGGGAUAACUUCGGGAAACCGGAGCUAAUACCGGAUAAUUCACAUCUACUCAUGUAGAUGUGCUGAAAGACGGUUUCGGCUGUCACUUAUAGAUGGGCCCGCGGCGCAUUAGCUAGUUGGUGAGGUAACGGCUCACCAAGGCCACGAUGCAUAGCCGACCUGAGAGGGUGAUCGGCCACACUGGGACUGAGACACGGCCCAGACUCCUACGGGAGGCAGCAGUAGGGAAUCUUCCGCAAUGGACGAAAGUCUGACGGAGCAACGCCGCGUGAGUGAUGAAGGUUUUCGGAUCGUAAAACUCUGUUGUUAGGGAAGAACAAGUACCAGAGUAACUGCUGGUACCUUGACGGUACCUAACCAGAAAGCCACGGCUAACUACGUGCCAGCCGCCGCGGUAA
This 512-nucleotide ribosomal RNA is filed under the name uncultured bacterium. Its description in RNAcentral is "partial 16S ribosomal RNA". It matches the Rfam family "Bacterial small subunit ribosomal RNA", at positions 28 to 523 of the family's 1533-position model. The record is from RNAcentral.